GGCUGAUGCAGGCUCGGCAGAAGCUGUGCCCACAGCCCAUGAUCAUCACUGGGUCCUUGAAGAACUCCAGGCAGAUGAAACAGACAGCAAUCAUCAAUUCACAGAGAAGAACUGACUUAAGCCACAGCUAAUAGGACAACUGGUUCUGUUAUAAAAAUCCUAAAGCUCCAAUCCAGCCAACACUGUCUCACUUUUCUCUUGCUCAGCCUGCCAUUGCAAUCAGUGAUUGCCCUGUGCAGGAUCAGGGCCUGAAGAAGUGCUGUUGAAAACACCUUGACCGGAACAAACAACUGCUUGCUAAGUGAAACCCAGCUGGCCAGGAUGUAUGUGUUCUUUGACCCAGCAGCCGUGGAGGCCAACCAGAAGUCAUGGAUUCCAUGUGGGGAGAAAGACAGGAGGGGCUUGGGGGCUGACAGUGAAGGAACUGCAAGAGUCCAGGGAGCAGCUCAGGAAGCAGAGAUGUGGUGGGAAAAGAACAAAGACUAGAGAUGCAGCUGUGAAGAUUCAAAUCACUUCAUGGUCUAAUCUGCAGCCAGAUAAAAUGUGGCUGCAAGUAUUUGAUCUCAGUGUGCUUGGAUGCAUGUUGCAAAUCUCAGCAGGACUCCAGGGCUGUUAAAUCCCUUCAGUCAGUUUUGCUUCUUUCCCAGCAGCCAGACACUGUUGACUAAGAGGGAUUAUUUUCAGAAGAAUGUGGCAGCUUCUGGUUUUGUGGUGACCGAAUAUACAAAGUCAAACACGUGUCACUCACUUGCUGCUGCACUUUAAGAAGGUAUAUUUCUACUCUUAUCUGGAACCAGAGCCCAUGGCCACAAAACUCCUAUAUUAAUUACUAAAAAAAUCACCUGAAGAAGGAUGUCUGUCAUUUGAAAGCUUGUCUCACUCUAUCCAACUAUGCAGUUGGUCCAAUAAAAGAUACCACCCCCUCCCUGUCUCUCACAUGAAACCAUUAGUCAUGUUCAUUAACAUUAUUCAGUGCUUCUCUGGGACCACAAAUCUUCAUUGCACCUUACCAAGGGAGGAGAAAGCCAGGCAUGAAUUCUUGUUUUCCUGUAGAUUUAGAUAUUAAUUGAUUCAAUUGCU
Alligator sinensis (Chinese alligator) is the source of this 1080-nucleotide long non-coding RNA. RefSeq lists it as uncharacterized. Lineage: Eukaryota; Metazoa; Chordata; Crocodylia; Alligatoridae. The record is from RefSeq and is a predicted model, not a curated record. The transcript is spliced from 4 exons.